Molecule: unclassified non-coding RNA, 148 nt
Organism: Macaca fascicularis (crab-eating macaque)
Lineage: Eukaryota; Metazoa; Chordata; Mammalia; Primates; Cercopithecidae
Rfam family: Metazoan signal recognition particle RNA
About the family: The signal recognition particle (SRP) is a universally conserved ribonucleoprotein. It is involved in the co-translational targeting of proteins to membranes.
Source: Ensembl
GCUGGGCAUGGUGGUGCAUGCCUGUAGUCCCAGCUAUUUGGGAGGCUGAGGUGGGAGGAUUGCUUGAGCCCAGGAGUUGGAGGCUGCAGUGAGCCAUGAUGGUGCCACUGCACUCCAGCCUGGGCAACAGAGUGAGACCCUGUCUCUA